This 1284-nucleotide ribosomal RNA is filed under the name Betaproteobacteria bacterium. RNAcentral describes it as "partial 23S ribosomal RNA". It matches the Rfam family "Bacterial large subunit ribosomal RNA", at positions 590 to 1717 of the family's 2925-position model. Lineage: Bacteria; Pseudomonadati; Pseudomonadota; Betaproteobacteria. The record is from RNAcentral.
GGGGUGACUGCGUACCUUUUGUAUAAUGGGUCAGCGACUUACGUUUUGUUGCGAGCUUAACCGAAUAGGGGAGGCGAAGCGAAAGCGAGUCUGAUAAGGGCGUUGAGUAGCAAGGCGUAGACCCGAAACCGGAUGAUCUAUCCAUGGCCAGGCUGAAGGUGCCGUAACAGGUACUGGAGGGCCGAACCCACUAAUGUUGAAAAAUUAGGGGAUGAGCUGUGGAUAGGGGUGAAAGGCUAAACAAAUCCGGAUAUAGCUGGUUCUCUCCGAAAGCUAUUUAGGUAGCGCGUCAUGUAUCACUUCCGGGGGUAAAGCACUGUUAUGGCUAGGGGGUCAUCGCGACUUACCAACCCAUGGCAAACUCUGAAUACCGGAAAGUGCGAGCAUGGCAGACAGACUGUGGGUGCUAACGUCCAUGGUCAAGAGGGAAACAACCCAGACCGCCAGCUAAGGUCCCAAAGACAUGGUUAAGUGGGAAACGAAGUGGGAAGGCCCAGACAGCUAGGAGGUUGGCUUAGAAGCAGCCAUCCUUUAAAGAAAGCGUAAUAGCUCACUAGUCGAGUCGUCCUGCGCGGAAGAUGUAACGGGGCUCAAACCAUGCACCGAAGCUGCGGAUUCAGGGAUCAGAUGUCAGGGAUCAGGUAUCGGAUGCCAGGGAUCAAAACCUGGUGUUACGAGAUACUGUCUGACUUUGGACUGAUUGGAUCAGGGGAAAUGUACAGGGAAUCAAAAAAGCGCCAAACCCGCGAAGCGGGGAAGGUGUUGAUCCCUGAUACCUGACCUCUGAUCCCUGAAUGGUAGGAGAGCGUUCUGUAGGCCGAUGAAGGUGGAUUGUCAAGUCUGCUGGAGGUAUCAGAAGUGCGAAUGCUGACAUGAGUAGCGAUAAAGCGGGUGAAAAGCCCGCUCGCCGAAAGCCCAAGGUUUCCUGCGCAACGUUCAUCGGCGCAGGGUGAGUCGGCCCCUAAGGCGAGGCAGAAAUGCGUAGUCGAUGGGAAACAGGUUAAUAUUCCUGUACUUGAAAUAAGUGCGAUGUGGGGACGGAGAAAGUUAGGUCAGCCGCCUGUUGGAAUAGGUGGUUUAAGCGUGUAGGCGUGCCCUGUAGGCAAAUCCGCAGGGCUAAGCUGAGGCGUGAUGACGAGGCGCUACGGCGCUGAAGUGACUGAUACUCAGCUUCCAGGAAAAGCCACUAAGCUUCAGCUUGUUUUGAACCGUACCGCAAACCGACACAGGUGGGCAGGAUGAGAAUUCCAAGGCGCUUGAGAGAACUCAGGAGAAGGAACUCGG